This 527-nucleotide long non-coding RNA is filed under the name Musa acuminata (dwarf banana). Its description in RNAcentral is "long non-coding RNA (MACU_LNC011429)". Lineage: Eukaryota; Viridiplantae; Streptophyta; Magnoliopsida; Zingiberales; Musaceae. The record is from RNAcentral.
CGCUCUCCCUCCAUGAGAGCAAGGGAUCAAUAACUUUCACGGAAGUCCCGCUUCUGCGGUACCAUGGCGCUGCCAUGCCCAUGGCACUACUAUCCGUCGCCUCGCAUCUGCAUCCCUUUUCUUCAUGAUCAGUAGAUAUGUCUCCGUGACACUCCUCUGAGUCCACCUCUAUUCUAACUGAUGCUUGAUUUUGGGUAGCUAAGUCCCUCUGGACUCGUCGUCGCUUCCUCGCCCCUUUCGACCCCCUGCUUCAACACCUCUGUGUUCUCCAAGCAGUCUGUUUGGUUGAUGGAAAGACAGACUGCAACUCCCAUGCAUGGCCUCUGCCAUCACGUUAUAGGGUUUGCACCGAUUCUGUUCUCCUUAGCUUCCUUGGUAGCAACGUUCGCUUACUCGACCUUGUCCUCUGACUUGCCGGGCUCCCUUAAACGAAUAUGAGCUCUGGAGCAGUCCAACUCUCCAGCUGCUUCGAUCAUACCUCUGCAUGAUCAAGUCCCUCCCAUGGAACUCACUGGUACUUGCAUUCG